RNAcentral lists this non-coding RNA (45 nucleotides) under Schistosoma mattheei. Lineage: Eukaryota; Metazoa; Platyhelminthes; Trematoda; Strigeidida; Schistosomatidae. The record is from RNAcentral.
AUCCAGCUGAUGAGUCUCAAAUAAGAUGAAAUGCUUGUCCUGGAU